RNAcentral lists this ribosomal RNA (2154 nucleotides) under Craspedostauros australis. RNAcentral's name for it is "partial Bacterial large subunit ribosomal RNA". It matches the Rfam family "Bacterial large subunit ribosomal RNA", at positions 789 to 2925 of the family's 2925-position model. The record is from RNAcentral. Lineage: Eukaryota; Bacillariophyta; Bacillariophyceae; Mastogloiales; Achnanthaceae.
UUGAAAAGUUAGCGGAUGACCUGUGGAUCGGAGUGAAAGGCUAAUCAAGCUCGGAGAUAGCUGGUUCUCCUCGAAAGCUAUUUAGGUAGCGCCUCGUGUAUCACUGCUGGGGGUAGAGCACUGUUUCGGCUAGGGGGUCAUCCCGACUUACCAAACCGAUGCAAACUCCGAAUACCAGCAAGUGUCAGCACGGGAGACACACGGCGGGUGCUAACGUCCGUCGUGAAAAGGGAAACAACCCAGACCGUCAGCUAAGGUCCCAAAGUUAUGGUUAAGUGGGAAACGAUGUGGGAAGGCUUAGACAGCUAGGAGGUUGGCUUAGAAGCAGCCAUCCUUUAAAGAAAGCGUAAUAGCUCACUAGUCGAGUCGGCCUGCGCGGAAGAUGUAACGGGGCUCAAACCAUACACCGAAGCUACGGGUUCAUCCUUUGGAUGAGCGGUAGAGGAGCGUUCUGUAAGCCUGUGAAGGUGAGUUGAGAAGCUUGCUGGAGGUAUCAGAAGUGCGAAUGCUGACAUGAGUAACGACAAUGCGAGUGAAAAACUCGCACGCCGAAAGACCAAGGUUUCCUGCGCAACGUUAAUCGACGCAGGGUUAGUCGGCCCCUAAGGCGAGGCAGAAAUGCGUAGUCGAUGGGAAACGGGUUAAUAUUCCCGUACUUCUAGUUACUGCGAUGGAGGGACGGAGAAGGCUAGGCCAGCACGGCGUUGGUUGUCCGUGUUUAAGGUGGUAGGCUGAGAUCUUAGGUAAAUCCGGGAUCUUAAGGCCGAGAGCUGAUGACGAGCGUUCUUUUAGAAUGCGAAGUGGUUGAUGCCAUGCUUCCAGGAAAAGCUUCUAAGCUUCAGGUAACUAGGAACCGUACCCCAAACCGACACAGGUGGUUAGGUAGAGAAUACCAAGGCGCUUGAGAGAACUCGGGUGAAGGAACUAGGCAAAAUGGCACCGUAACUUCGGGAGAAGGUGCGCCGGUGAGGGUGAAGUAUUUACUGCGUAAGCCCAUGCCGGUCGAAGAUACCAGGCCGCUGCGACUGUUUAUUAAAAACACAGCACUCUGCAAACACGAAAGUGGACGUAUAGGGUGUGACGCCUGCCCGGUGCCGGAAGGUUAAUUGAUGGGGUUAGCGCAAGCGAAGCUCUUGAUCGAAGCCCCGGUAAACGGCGGCCGUAACAAUAACGGUCCUAAGGUAGCGAAAUUCCUUGUCGGGUAAGUUCCGACCUGCACGAAUGGCGUAACGAUGGCGGCGCUGUCUCCACCCGAGACUCAGUGAAAUUGAAAUCGCUGUGAAGAUGCAGUGUAUCCGCGGCUAGACGGAAAGACCCCGUGAACCUUUACUAUAGCUUUGCACUGGACUUUGAGCUUGCUUGUGUAGGAUAGGUGGGAGGCUUUGAAGUGGGGACGCCAGUUCUCAUGGAGCCAUCCUUGAAAUACCACCCUGGCAACCUUGAGGUUCUAACUCUGGUCCGUUAUCCGGAUCGAGGACAGUGUAUGGUGGGUAGUUUGACUGGGGCGGUCUCCUCCCAAAGAGUAACGGAGGAGUACGAAGGUGCGCUCAGACCGGUCGGAAAUCGGUCGUAGAGUAUAAAGGCAAAAGCGCGCUUGACUGCGAGACAGACACGUCGAGCAGGUACGAAAGUAGGUCUUAGUGAUCCGGUGGUUCUGUAUGGAAGGGCCAUCGCUCAACGGAUAAAAGGUACUCCGGGGAUAACAGGCUGAUACCGCCCAAGAGUUCAUAUCGACGGCGGUGUUUGGCACCUCGAUGUCGGCUCAUCACAUCCUGGGGCUGAAGCCGGUCCCAAGGGUAUGGCUGUUCGCCAUUUAAAGUGGUACGCGAGCUGGGUUUAGAACGUCGUGAGACAGUUCGGUCCCUAUCUGCCGUGGACGUUUGAGAUUUGAGAGGGGCUGACCUUAGUACGAGAGGACCGGGUUGGACGAACCUCUGGUGUUCCGGUUGUCACGCCAGUGGCAUUGCCGGGUAGCUAUGUUCGGAAAAGAUAACCGCUGAAAGCAUCUAAGCGGGAAACUUGCCUCAAGAUGAGAUCUCACUGGAGCCUUGAGCUCCCUAAAGGGCCGUCGAAGACUACGACGUUGAUAGGUGGGGUGUGUAAGCGCUGUGAGGCGUUGAGCUAACCCAUACUAAUUGCCCGUGAGGCUUGACC